RNAcentral lists this long non-coding RNA (1877 nucleotides) under Nicotiana benthamiana. Its description in RNAcentral is "long non-coding RNA (NBEN_LNC023098)". Lineage: Eukaryota; Viridiplantae; Streptophyta; Magnoliopsida; Solanales; Solanaceae. The record is from RNAcentral.
UUUAUAACAUAAACAUGUCUUUUCCUUAAUUCAUUUACUAAUUAGAUAUUAUCACAAAUCUUUCGUUUAAACAUUUUAAAACAAGCGGAAACAAAUGUGUAAAACUUCAACCACUGCCCGAUCCCGACGUCACUAGUUAUGAGCCACUAAAAUACAAUCUGAUAUUGUCUACUCAAUACAAGAUUAGCCUGAGAAAAAUAAAUACUAAUAGAUAUGAAGGAUAAAAGCAAGGUUGCGGACGCCGUGCAGCUACCUUGCUAAUUCCGGAAUACUCUGAAGGUAAGGAACAACUCUCACUCGGAUGCUCUGGCACCUGAAUCUGCACACAAGGUGCAGGGAGUAAUGUGAGUAUGCCAACUCAUUAAGUAACAAUUAUAAAUAAAGGUGAGUGCAGUGACGAGCAUUUAAAAUCAUAUACAUCUCAUAACAUAGAAUCUCAAUGUAAAUAACAGAGUCAAAUUAGUAAUUCAAUUUUCGAACAUCUCGUAAAAAUUCCAGUUUCAGUGAAAGUUAUUUAAAAUAUUUGUUCAACAUUUUUCAACAGAGGCUCAGUAUAAAAGAAGAGUGAAAACAGUAAUUUCAUAAAACAAGCCCCUCGGGCCUCGGGCAAAGUAUCACUCAUAUAUAUAUAGCCCCUCGGGCAAGCCUCUUAGUCAUUCGUGACUCAAAUCUCAUCAAUCAGCACUCCCGCUAAAUAGAUAUCUCAUAAUAACCGAUGCGGCGUGCGGUCCGAUCCAUAAAUAGGGUUCUAGGGUCUUCCUAAGGAAACCUCUAUAUUUCUCUAGAACCUUCGUACAAGUGUAUAAAUAAUUAGAACAUUUCUAAGGAAGUUCUCCAUAGUUCUAGAAUAUUCCACCAAGAUCUAAUCCCUAACUUAUGUAACCAUUCCAUAUGACAAAAAUAUAUGCCAAGUAACACCUACGUGGCAAGAUGAUGUGGCGGGUCAUGACAUACAGCUGCAAUUCCUAAAAAAAUGGAGAAACGGCAGCCCACCCCAAUAGUCAGAAGUUUAGUUUUCUUCUAAAGAUUCGAAUUGAGUGACAAAAAAACGUUCGGCAUUUUGCAGCGUUCAAGGUGCGCAAAAUGGAUUCCAAAAGCAACAAACCUGUAGCGAAGCACUGAUCCAAUCCCCUCAUGAAUGCCGUAUGUGAACCAGUUAAAUCGCACAUUUAAUUCGAAUCAAGGAACGGAAUUCGUUGAACAUAGAAGAAAGGAUAUGAAAGCAAAGUAUUUUCUUUUUCCCAAAGACACUACAGGUGGAAGUUUCAUGGUUAAGAUUACUCUUCUCAAAUUAUAUCUUUCAGCCUCAGCAACGUUACUGAAUGCAUUCAAAUUUCUUUUUGAACUUGAAUUGCAACCCACCCAUGAAGUAGAAGAGGAAAUCUUCCUCGGACGAUGACGAGAUUUGUAGCAUUAAGGUAUUGAACUUGUGUAUAUACUCCCGAAUUGUGGCCUUUGUCGGAGCUCUUUUAGCUUCUGCCAGUAUGCCACCUCGCGUGCAGCCCGUGCAUGCACCACCAUACUGCUUUCACUUUAGGACCUUCACGUUGAUUCCUUCUGCAAGUACCAAUCCCUUGGUAAUUCCGAUCAUGGUUCCCUACAAAACUUCCUCUAGCAAUCUCUUGUAUUCUUUCUAACAUUCCUCAGUCAUAGCCUUUACUCUGAUAUCACGUUGUCACGUCCAUAGUCUUAAAAUAAUCGCACGUGCGGCACUUGACAACUCUCUCACGAUCUUGCACAACUUGCUCAUGUUCUUGCUAUGUCAAGUCAGCCUUACCACACUCAAGAUCACCAAGAGAAUGGAAGAAAGAACACUUGAGAAUUGCUAAAGGAAGCUUGGUAUUGGAGAGAACUUGAAUUAUUUGCUUGGUUGAUGA